CGGCCGAUUCGCUCAACGGCUCACAGUCACCUCUGUGUACACUAGCCCUGGCAGGAUAGCUAUCAACUGCCCAGGACCCGAAUUCGUCUCAUCUCAUCAGUAGAGGGUAACAUACAAGCUCAACAUCAAAAAUUGGCAAGUCAAACAGUUCUCAAACAUCAUUUAUCUCAAAUAAUUUGAUAAGCUCAUAACAUCAUCAUAUCAUCAAAUCAUUUUAGAAAGCUCGGUUAAUAUAUGUAUACUCAAAAUAUUGCCCACCUGAAGACCUUACUCAAAA
This 277-nucleotide long non-coding RNA is filed under the name Salvia miltiorrhiza (redroot sage). RNAcentral describes it as "long non-coding RNA (SMIL_LNC003219)". The record is from RNAcentral. Lineage: Eukaryota; Viridiplantae; Streptophyta; Magnoliopsida; Lamiales; Lamiaceae.